GUCUCCUACGGGAGGCAGCAGUGAGGAAUAUUGGUCAAUGGGCGAGAGCCUGAGCCAGCCAAGUCGCGUGAGGGAGUACUGCCCUAUGGGUUGUAAACCUCUUUUGUCGGGGAGCAGAAGCCGGACGUGUCCGGCUGUGAGAGUACCCGAAGAAAAAGCAUCGGCUAACUCCGUGCCAGCAGCCGCGGUAAUACGGAGGAUGCGAGCGUUAUCCGGAUUUAUUGGGUUUAAAGGGUGCGCAGGCGGAUUUUUAAGUCAGCGGUCAAAUUGUGGGGCUCAACCCAAUCCAGCCGUUGAA
Molecule: ribosomal RNA, 298 nt
Filed under: uncultured bacterium
Lineage: Bacteria
Description: partial 16S ribosomal RNA
Rfam family: Bacterial small subunit ribosomal RNA
Source: RNAcentral